This 253-nucleotide ribosomal RNA is filed under the name uncultured bacterium. RNAcentral describes it as "partial 16S ribosomal RNA". It matches the Rfam family "Bacterial small subunit ribosomal RNA", at positions 524 to 776 of the family's 1533-position model. The record is from RNAcentral.
UACGUAGGGUGCAAGCGUUGUCCGGAAUUAUUGGGCGUAAAGAGCUUGUAGGCGGUUUGUCGCGUCUGCUGUGAAAUUUCGGGGCUCAACCCCGAACUUGCAGUGGGUACGGGCAGACUAGAGUGUGGUAGGGGAGACUGGAAUUCCUGGUGUAGCGGUGAAAUGCGCAGAUAUCAGGAGGAACACCGGUGGCGAAGGCGGGUCUCUGGGCCGAUACUGACGCUGAGGUGCGAAAGCGUGGGGAGCAAACAGG